Molecule: ribosomal RNA, 230 nt
Filed under: uncultured bacterium
Lineage: Bacteria
Description: partial 16S ribosomal RNA
Rfam family: Bacterial small subunit ribosomal RNA
Source: RNAcentral
UGAGGAACAUGACCUUCGGCGGGGGAUAGCCGGCCCAACGGCCGGGUAAUACCGCGUACGACCACAUGGGGACAUCCCUGAGUGGUGAAAGCAGCAAUGCGCCGAUGGAGUGCCUCGCGGCCUAUCAGCUAGUUGGUGAGGUAACGGCUCACCAAGGCGACGACGGGUAGCUGGUCUGAGAGGAUGAUCAGCCACAUUGGGACUGAGACACGGCCCAAACUNUACGGGAG